This 469-nucleotide ribosomal RNA is filed under the name uncultured bacterium. RNAcentral's name for it is "partial 16S ribosomal RNA". It matches the Rfam family "Bacterial small subunit ribosomal RNA", at positions 28 to 507 of the family's 1533-position model. The record is from RNAcentral.
GAUGAACGCUGGCGGUGUGCUUAACACAUGCAAGUCGAACGGCAACCCCGGAGCUUGUUCUGUGGGCUCAGUGGGGAACGCGUGCGUAACACGUGAGCAACCUGCCCUUGAUUCUGGGAUAAGCGCUCGAAACGGCACUUAAUAUUGUAUCUGUGACGUCCCCGCAUGGUAUGCGUUUGGAAUGCUGUCGUGGCUCGGGAUGGGCUCGCGGCCUAGCAGCUUGUUGGUGAGGGAUUGGCGCACCAAGGCGUCGACGGGUAGCCGGCCUGGGAGGGUGACCGGCCACACUGGGACUGAGACACGGCCCAGACUCCUACGGGAGGCAGCAGUGGGGAAUAUUGCACAAUGGGCGCAAGCCUGAUGCAGCAACGCCGCGUGAGGGAUGACGGCCUUCGGGUUGUAAACCUCUUUUAGCAGGGAAGAAGCGAAAGUGACGGUACCUGCAGAAAAAGCGCCGGCUAACUACGUG